CUUCAGCACAACACAAUCGGGCGCCCGUUCUAUUCUAGAACAGAUCCAACUCAACCAAUAACCUCUAGACACCAAUAAUAAGUUCCAAUCAUCAACUCAGACUUAGACUUUACCAACUUACGAAGGUCUAGUACAUUACAAUUUUUAACAGAAAAGUUCUAUUCACUAUUUAGAUCAAGAUUAUAUAACUCUAAUUUUGAACUAAAAAAUUCGAUAUUCUAUUUUUAGGUGGUCGUCUUAUAGUUUAAAAAUUACAAAAUUCAGUUUUUAGGUACUUCAAAUGCUCUAAAUUGUAUUUAAUGGUAUGAGUUACUGAUUAGCAAGCUCUAUGGUCGAAAAUAAUUUAUG
This 348-nucleotide long non-coding RNA is filed under the name Ananas comosus (pineapple). Its description in RNAcentral is "long non-coding RNA (ACOM_LNC015072)". The record is from RNAcentral. Lineage: Eukaryota; Viridiplantae; Streptophyta; Magnoliopsida; Poales; Bromeliaceae.